CCUACGGGAGGCUGCAGUAGGGAAUCUUCCACAAUUGGCGAAAGCCUGAUGGAGCAACGCCGCGGGGGUGAAGAAGGUCUUCGGAUCGUAAAACCCUGUUGUUAGAGACGAAAGUGCGUGAGCGUAACUGUUCACGUUUCGACGGUAUCUACCCAGCAAGCAACGGCUAACUACGUGCCAGCAGCCGCGGUAAUACGUAGGUGGCAAGCGUUAUCCGGAUUUAUUGGGCGUAAAGGGAACGCAGGCGGUCUUUUACGUCUGAUGUGAAAGCCUUCGGCUUAACCGGAGUAGUGCAUUGGAAACUGGGAGACUUGAGUGCAGAAGAGGAGAGUGGAACUGCAGGUGUAGCGGUGAAAUGCGUAGAGAUAUGGAGAACACCAGUGGCGAAAGCGGCUCUCUGGUCUGUAACUGACGCUGAGGUUCGAAAGCGUGGGUAGCAAAUAGGAUUAGAUACCCCUGUAGUC
This 464-nucleotide ribosomal RNA is filed under the name uncultured bacterium. RNAcentral's name for it is "partial 16S ribosomal RNA". It matches the Rfam family "Bacterial small subunit ribosomal RNA", at positions 338 to 795 of the family's 1533-position model. The record is from RNAcentral.